Podarcis lilfordi (Lilford's wall lizard) is the source of this 77-nucleotide non-coding RNA. The record is from the annotation of a GenBank genome assembly. Lineage: Eukaryota; Metazoa; Chordata; Lepidosauria; Squamata; Lacertidae.
GGAAGGGCUGUGUGGCUCAGGGCCAGAGCACCUGCUUUGCAUGCAGAAGGUCCCGGGUUCUAUCCCCAGCAUCUCCA